AACUUUCGACAACGUAUCUCGUGGCUCUCGCAUCGAUUAAGAACACAGCGAAAUGUGAUAAGUAAUGUGAAUUGCAGAAUCCAGUGAAUCAUCGAAUCUUUGAACGCAUCUUGCGCUCCUUGGCAUUCCGAGGAGCAUGCCUGUUUGAGUGUCAUUAAACUAUCAAAACACUUUUUCUCGAGGUGUUUUGGACUUUGGGAGCACUGUGCUGGUCUCUGUUUGAGCCAGCUCUCCUCAAAAGCAUUAUCUUUGAGACCAUCAGUGUGAUCAUUUGUUUGCACUGGCUUCUCUUUUUUAACUGCCCCUUUGACCUCAAAUCAGGUAGGACUACCCGCUGAACUUAAGCAUAUCAAUAAGCGGAGGCC
RNAcentral lists this unclassified non-coding RNA (365 nucleotides) under uncultured Amanita. RNAcentral's name for it is "sequence contains ITS2". The stretch from base 1 to 154 matches the Rfam family "5.8S ribosomal RNA". The record is from RNAcentral. Lineage: Eukaryota; Fungi; Basidiomycota; Agaricomycetes; Agaricales; Amanitaceae.